UGUCCCCCUCUCACUUUGUCAAUUGGAUUUAUGUCUUUAUUGAUCAUUUAAGUAGGGCAAAGGAAGUGUCCUUUUAGAACUCAAGCAAACUGGGUGUCUUGUAUUCUGUUACAGGAAACAGCA
Sorex fumeus (smoky shrew) is the source of this 123-nucleotide small nucleolar RNA. RefSeq annotates it as small nucleolar RNA SNORA27. NCBI's taxonomy places the organism in Eukaryota, Metazoa, Chordata, Mammalia, Eulipotyphla, Soricidae. The record is from RefSeq and is a predicted model, not a curated record. The transcript has a single exon.